GACGAACUUUUGUGGCGUGCUUAACACAUGCAAGUCGAACGGAAAGGCCCUGCUUUUGUGGGGUGCUCGAGUGGCGAACGGGUGAGUAACACGUGAGUAACCUGCCCUUGACUUUGGGAUAACUUCAGGAAACUGGGGCUAAUACCGGAUAGGAGCUCCUGCUGCAUGGUGGGGGUUGGAAAGUUUCGGCGGUUGGGGAUGGACUCGCGGCUUAUCAGCUUGUUGGUGGGGUAGUGGCUUACCAAGGCUUUGACGGGUAGCCGGCCUGAGAGGGUGACCGGCCACAUUGGGACUGAGAUACGGCCCAGACUCCUACGGGAGGCAGCAGUGGGGAAUAUUGCACAAUGGGCGGAAGUCUGAUGCAGCAACGCCGCGUGCGGGAUGACGGCCUUCGGGUUGUAAACCGCUUUCGCCUGUGACGAAGCGUGAGUGACGGUAAUGGGUAAAGAAGCACCGGCUAACUACGUGCCAGCAGCCGCGGUGAUACGUAGGGUGCGAGCGUUGUCCGGAUUUAUUGGGCGUAAAGGGCUCGUAGGUGGUUGAUCGCGUCGGAAGUGUAAUCUUGGGGCUUAACCCUGAGCGUGCUUUCGAUACGGGUUGACUUGAGGAAGGUAGGGGAGAAUGGAAUUCCUGGUGGAGCGGUGGAAUGCGCAGAUAUCAGGAGGAACACCAGUGGCGAAGGCGGUUCUCUGGGCCUUUCCUGACGCUGAGGAGCGAAAGCGUGGGGAGCGAACAGGCUUAGAUACCCUGGUAGUCCACGCUGUAAACGGUGGGUACUAGGUGUGGGGUCCAUUCCACGGGUUCCGUGCCGUAGCUAACGCUUUAAGUACCCCGCCUGGGGAGUACGGCCGCAAGGCUAAAACUCAAAGGAAUUGACGGGGCCCCGCACAAGCGGCGGAGCAUGCGGAUUAAUUCGAUGCAACGCGUAGAACCUUACCUGGGUUUGACAUGGAUCGGGAGUGCUCAGAGAUGGGUGUGCCUCUUUUGGGGUCGGUUCACAGGUGGUGCAUGGCUGUCGUCAGCUCGUGUCGUGAGAUGUUGGGUUAAGUCCCGCAACGAGCGCAACCCUUGUUCACUGUUGCCAGCACGUUAUGGUGGGGACUCAGUGGAGACCGCCGGGGUCAACUCGGAGGAAGGUGGGGAUGACGUCAAGUCAUCAUGCCCCUUAUGUCCAGGGCUUCACGCAUGCUACAAUGGCUGGUACAGAGAGUGGCGAGCCUGUGAGGGUGAGCGAAUCUCGGAAAGCCGGUCUCAGUUCGGAUUGGGGUCUGCAACUCGACCUCAUGAAGUCGGAGUCGCUAGUAAUCGCAGAUCAGCAACGCUGCGGUGAAUACGUUCCCGGGGCU
RNAcentral lists this ribosomal RNA (1346 nucleotides) under uncultured bacterium. RNAcentral's name for it is "bacterial SSU rRNA". It matches the Rfam family "Bacterial small subunit ribosomal RNA", at positions 28 to 1381 of the family's 1533-position model. The record is from RNAcentral.